RNAcentral lists this ribosomal RNA (1246 nucleotides) under Micromonospora sp. RNAcentral describes it as "bacterial SSU rRNA". It matches the Rfam family "Bacterial small subunit ribosomal RNA", at positions 127 to 1388 of the family's 1533-position model. Lineage: Bacteria; Bacillati; Actinomycetota; Actinomycetes; Micromonosporales; Micromonosporaceae. The record is from RNAcentral.
UGCCCUAGGCUUUGGGAUAACCCUCGGAAACGGGGGCUAAUACCGGAUAUGACCUGACCUCGCACGGGGUUUGGUGGAAAGUUUUUCGGCCUGGGAUGGGCUCGCGGCCUAUCAUCUUGUUGGUGGGGUGAUGGCCUACCAAGGCGACGACGGGUAGCCGGCCUGAGAGGGCGACCGGCCACACUGGGACUGAGACACGGCCCACACUCCUACGGGAGGCAGCAGUGGGGAAUAUUGCACAAUGGGCGGAAGCCUGAUGCAGCGACGCCGCGUGAGGGAUGACGGCCUUCGGGUUGUAAACCUCUUUCAGCAGGGACGAAGCGUGAGUGACGGUACCUGCAGAAGAAGCGCCGGCCAACUACGUGCCAGCAGCCGCGGUAAGACGUAGGGCGCGAGCGUUGUCCGGAUUUAUUGGGCGUAAAGAGCUCGUAGGCGGCUUGUCGCGUCGACCGUGAAAACUUGGGGCUCAACCCCAAGCCUGCGGUCGAUACGGGCAGGCUAGAGUUCGGUAGGGGAGACUGGAAUUCCUGGUGUAGCGGUGAAAUGCGCAGAUAUCAUGAGGAACACCGGUGGCGAAGGCGGGUCUCUGGGCCGAUACUGACGCUGAGGAGCGAAAGCGUGGGGAGCGAACAGGAUUAGAUACCCUGGUAGUCCACGCUGUAAACGUUGGGCGCUAGGUGUGGGGGGCCUCUCCGGUUCUCUGUGCCGCAGCUAACGCAUUAAGCGCCCCGCCUGGGGAGUACGGCCGCAAGGCUAAUACUCAUAGGAAUUGACGGGGGCCCGCACAAGCGGCGGAGCAUGCGGAUUAAUUCGAUGCAACGCGAAGAACCUUACCUGGGUUUGACAUGGCCGCAAAACUGUCAGAGAUGGCAGGUCCUUCGGGGGCGGUCACAGGUGGUGCAUGGCUGUCGUCAGCUCGUGUCUUGAGAUGUUGGGUUAAGUCCCGCAACGAGCGCAACCCUCUUUCGAUGUUGCCAGCGCGUUAUGGCGGGGACUCAUCGAAGACUGCCGGGGUCAACUCGGAGGAAGGUGGGGAGGACGUCAAGUCAUCAUGCCCCCUAUGUCCAGGGCUUCACGCGUGCUACAAUGGCCGGUACAAUGGGGUGCGAUACCGUGAGGUGGAGAGAAUCCCAAAAAACCGGUCUCAGUUCGGAUCGGGGUGUGCAACUCGACCCCGCGAAGUGGGAGUCGCUAGUAAUCGCAGAUCAGCAACGCUGCGGUGAAUACGUUCCCGGGCCCUGUACAC